UCAUACUCCCAUUUUACCUGGUGAAUGCCCAACCUUGUCAGAUUUCAGAAGCUAAGCAGGGUUAGGCCUGGUUAGUCCUGGGAUGGGAGACUGCAUGGGGGGCUAUUGUGCAGACUGUGGU
RNAcentral lists this ribosomal RNA (121 nucleotides) under Periophthalmus magnuspinnatus. Lineage: Eukaryota; Metazoa; Chordata; Actinopteri; Gobiiformes; Gobiidae. The record is from RNAcentral.